UGGGGAAUUUUGGACAAUGGGGGAAACCCUGAUCCAGCCAUCCCGCGUGUGCGAUGAAGGCCUUCGGGUUGUAAAGCACUUUUGGCAGGAAAGAAACGUCAUGGGUUAAUACCCCGUGAAACUGACGGUACCAGCAGAAUAAGCACCGGCUAACUACGUGCCAGCAGCCGCGGUAAUACGUAGGGUGCAAGCGUUAAUCGGAAUUACUGGGCGUAAAGCGUGCGCAGGCGGUUCGGAAAGAAAGAUGUGAAAUCCCAGAGCUCAACUUUGGAACUGCAUUUUUAACUACCGGGCUAGAGUGUGUCAGAGGGAGGUGGAAUUCCGCGUGUAACAGUGAAAUGCGUAGAUAUGCGGAGGAACACCGAUGGCGAAGGCAGCCUCCUGGGAUAACACUGACGCUCAUGCACGAAAGCGUGGGGAGCAAACAGG
Molecule: ribosomal RNA, 429 nt
Filed under: Acidobacteriota bacterium
Lineage: Bacteria; Pseudomonadati; Acidobacteriota
Description: Acidobacteria bacterium partial 16S ribosomal RNA
Rfam family: Bacterial small subunit ribosomal RNA
Source: RNAcentral